UGGGGAAUAUUGGACAAUGGGGGAAACCCUGAUCCAGCGAUGCCGCGUGUGUGAAGAAGGCCUGAGGGUUGUAAAGCACUUUCAGUGGGGAGGAGAGGUGAUAGGUUAAGAGCUAAUUACUGAGACGUUACCCACAGAAGAAGCACCGGCUAACUCCGUGCCAGCAGCCGCGGUAAUACGGAGGGUGCAAGCGUUAAUCGGAAUUACUGGGCGUAAAGGGUGCGUAGGUGGAUAUUUAAGUUAGCUGUGAAAGUCCUGGGCUUAACCUAGGGAGGUCAGCUAAAACUGGGUAUCUAGAGUGAAGGAGAGGGUAGUGGAAUUUCCGGUGUAGCGGUGAGAUGCGUAGAGAUCGGAAGGAACACCAGUGGCGAAGGCGGCUACCUGGCCAGACACUGACACUGAGGCACGAAAGCGUGGGGAGCAAACAGG
RNAcentral lists this ribosomal RNA (429 nucleotides) under uncultured bacterium. RNAcentral describes it as "bacterial SSU rRNA". It matches the Rfam family "Bacterial small subunit ribosomal RNA", at positions 355 to 776 of the family's 1533-position model. The record is from RNAcentral.